Molecule: ribosomal RNA, 972 nt
Filed under: uncultured bacterium
Lineage: Bacteria
Description: bacterial SSU rRNA
Rfam family: Bacterial small subunit ribosomal RNA
Source: RNAcentral
GUAACAUAUAGUUAAUGUACCUUCAAGACUGGGAUAGCCACUGGAAACGGUGAUUAAUACUAGAUAUACCUUCAUAUCAAAAGCUAUGAAGGGAAACGUUUUUUCGCUUGAAGAUCAGACUAUAUCCCAUCAGUUAGUUGGUAGGGUAAUGGCCUACCAAGGCAAUGACGGGUAGCGGGUUUGAGAGGAUGAUCCGCCACACUGGUACUGAGACACGGACCAGACUCCUACGGGAGGCAGCAGUGAGGAAUAUUGCACAAUGGAGGAAACUCUGAUGCAGCAACGCCGCGUGGAGGAUGACGCAUUUCGGUGUGUAAACUCCUUUUAUGAGUCAAGAAAAUGACGGUAGCUCAUGAAUAAGCACCGGCUAACUCCGUGCCAGCAGCCGCGGUAAUACGGAGGGUGCAAGCGUUACUCGGAAUCACUGGGCGUAAAGGACGCGUAGGCGGGAUGUCAAGUCAGGUGUGAAAUCCUAUGGCUCAACCAUAGAACUGCAUUUGAAACUGGCAACCUAGAGUAUGGGAGGGGGAGAUGGAAUUAGUGGUGUAGGGGUAAAAUCCGUAGAUAUCACUAGGAAUACCUAAAGCGAAGGCGAUCUCCUGGAACAUAACUGACGCUAAGGCGUGAAAGCGUGGGGAGCAAACGGGAUUAGAUACCCCGGUAGUCCACGCCCUAAACGAUGAACACUAGUCGUCGCUCUGCUUGUCAGGGCGGUGAUGCACUUAACAGAUUAAGUGUUCCGCCUGGGGAGUACGGUCGCAAGAUUAAAACUCAAAGGAAUAGACGGGGACCCGCACAAGUGGUGGAGCAUGUGGUUUAAUUCGAAGAUACGCGAAGAACCUUACCUAGCCUUGACAUUGAUAGAAUACCCUAGAGAUAGAGUGGUGCUCUUCGGGGAACUUGAAAACAGGUGCUGCACGGCUGUCGUCAGCUCGUGUCGUGAGAUGUUGGGUUAAGUCCCGCAACGAGCGC